This 588-nucleotide ribosomal RNA is filed under the name uncultured bacterium. RNAcentral describes it as "bacterial SSU rRNA". It matches the Rfam family "Bacterial small subunit ribosomal RNA", at positions 335 to 921 of the family's 1533-position model. The record is from RNAcentral.
ACUCCUACGGGAGGCAGCAGUGGGGAAUAUUGCGCAAUGGCCGCAAGGCUGACGCAGCGACGCCGCGUGUGGGAGGACGCCUUUCGGGGUGUAAACCACUGUUGCCCGGGACGAACAACUGACAUUGGUCAGUCUGACGGUACCGGGUGAGGAAGCACCGGCUAACUCCGUGCCAGCAGCCGCGGUAAUACGGAGGGUGCGAGCGUUGUCCGGAAUCACUGGGCGUAAAGGGCGCGUAGGCGGUGCGGUAAGCGUGCGGUGAAAGCUCGGGGCUCAACCCCGAGUCGGCCGUGCGAACUGCUGGACUGGAGCAUGUCAGAGGCGGGUGGAAUUCCGGGUGUAGCGGUGGAAUGCGUAGAGAUCCGGAAGAACACCGGUGGCGAAGGCGGCCCGCUGGGACAUAGCUGACGCUGAGGCGCGACAGCGUGGGGAGCAAACAGGAUUAGAUACCCUGGUAGUCCACGCCGUAAACGAUGGGUACUAGGUGCUUGGGGGGAGCGACCCCCUGGGUGCCGGCGCUAACGCAUUAAGUACCCCGCCUGUGGAGUACGACCGCAAGGUUGAAACUCAAAGGAAUUGACGGGGGCC